Long non-coding RNA from Magnolia sinica, 867 nucleotides. RefSeq lists it as uncharacterized. NCBI's taxonomy places the organism in Eukaryota, Viridiplantae, Streptophyta, Magnoliopsida, Magnoliales, Magnoliaceae. The transcript has 2 exons. The record is from RefSeq and is a predicted model, not a curated record.
UGUCCCGUAUCGGUAUCGGUUGGCGUAACGGUGACCUCUAAAACCGAUACGGAUACGGGAGCGUAAUGGCCCGUAAUAGCGCAAAAAAUUUUUUUGCCAAAAAAAUAUGGAUUAAAUCCGGAAUAUUCUAAGCAUUCCAAAUAUGCAUUCAUUUAUAAAUUGGAACAUGUUUAUGGUGGUGUAACGGUCCACUCUUUGGUGAGAAGUUGCAUCGGACUGUCUGAUGAAUUUAUGAACCAGACAACCUGAAUUUGACUACAAAAUUCAUAUAUUUAAUUUUCUAACUAUCUACUAUCAAUGAUAGAUAUAUUAGAAUGAAUGUAAUAUGAAUUUCAUAUCUUACAUUAGGUGUUUGCAAUUAUUUUUGAGGAAUUUCUCGAACAUACCUGUGCACAAAAAAAAUAUAAAAUGGCACCCCAAAUCUAUAAAAUGCACAUUAACAUGUUCUACUAUGAUUAACACAUCACAUGGCAUAAUUAAAACAGCAAAACAAUCAUUAAAAAAAUGAUUUUUCGAAUUUUUUUUUUAAGGGCCAUAAUUAAUGCGUAAAUAGAAAAAAAAUAUAAAAAUAUACAUAUAAAAUGGCACCCCAAAUCUGUAAAAUGCACAUUAACAUGUUCUAUUCUGAGUAACACAUCACAUGGCAUGAUUAAAAUAGCAAAACAAUAUUAAAAAAUGAUUUUUCGAAUUUUAAAAAAAAGGGGCCACAAUUAAUGCGUAAAUAGAAAAAAAUAUUUUAAAAAAUAUAAAAUGGCACCCCAAAUCUGUAAAAUGGACAUUAACACGUUGUACUAUGAUUAACACAUCACAUGGCAUGAUUAAAACAACAAAACAAUCAUUAAAAAAUGAUUUUUCGAUUUUUUUUUU